This 441-nucleotide ribosomal RNA is filed under the name uncultured bacterium. RNAcentral describes it as "partial 16S ribosomal RNA". It matches the Rfam family "Bacterial small subunit ribosomal RNA", at positions 338 to 795 of the family's 1533-position model. The record is from RNAcentral.
CCUACGGGUGGCAGCAGUGGGGAAUAUUGCACAAUGGGGGAAACCCUGAUGCAGCAACGCCGCGUGAGGGAAGACGGUUCUCUGGUUGGAAAACUAUUGUCUUCGUGAAGGAAAAUGACGGUAGCUGAGGAGCAAGCCACGGCUAACUACGUGCCAGCAGCCGCGGUAAUACGUAGGUGGCGAGCGUUGUCCGGAAUUACUGGGUGUAAAGGGAGCGCAGGCGGGAAGCCAAGUCAGCUGUGAAAACUACGGGCUUAACUUGUAGACCGCAGUUGAAACUGGUUUUCUUGAGUGAAGUAGAGGUAGGCGGAAUUCCGAGUGUAGCGGUGAAAUGCGUAGAUAUUAGGAGGAACACCGGUGGCGAAGGCGGCUAACUGGGCUGUAACUGACGCUGAGGCUCGAAAGUGUGGGGAGCAAACAGGAUUAGAUACCCUUGUAGUC